UGGUGGGUAGUUUGACUGGGGCGGUCUCCUCCUAAAGAGUAACGGAGGAGCACGAAGGUUGGCUAAUCCUGGUCGGACAUCAGGAGGUUAGUGCAAUGGCAUAAGCCAGCUUGACUGCGAGCGUGACGGCGCGAGCAGGUGCGAAAGCAGGUCAUAGUGAUCCGGUGGUUCUGAAUGGAAGGGCCAUCGCUCAACGGAUAAAAGGUACUCCGGGGAUAACAGGCUGAUACCGCCCAAGAGUUCAUAUCGACGGCGGUGUUUGGCACCUCGAUGUCGGCUCAUCACAUCCUGGGGCUGAAGUAGGUCCCAAGGGUAUGGCUGUUCGCCAUUUAAAGUGGUACGCGAGCUGGGUUUAGAACGUCGUGAGACAGUUCGGUCCCUAUCUGCCGUGGGCGCUGGAGAACUGAGGGGGGCUGCUCCUAGUACGAGAGGACCGGAGUGGACGCAUCACUGGUGUUCGGGUUGUCAUGCCAAUGGCACUGCCCGGUAGCUAAAUGCGGAAGAGAUAAGUGCUGAAAGCAUCUAAGCACGAAACUUGCCCCGAGAUGAGUUCUCCCUGAGACUUUAAGUCUCCUGAAGGAACGUUGAAGACGACGACGUUGAUAGGCCGGGUGUGUAAGCGCAGCGAUGCGUUGAGCUAACCGGUACUAAUGAACCGUGAGGCUUA
Molecule: ribosomal RNA, 667 nt
Filed under: Salmonella enterica subsp. enterica serovar Infantis
Lineage: Bacteria; Pseudomonadati; Pseudomonadota; Gammaproteobacteria; Enterobacterales; Enterobacteriaceae
Also listed under: 1 other name
Description: partial 23S ribosomal RNA
Rfam family: Bacterial large subunit ribosomal RNA
Source: RNAcentral